UAAGGAGGAAGGAAGACUGGCUGCCUUACAGCACAGAGCAGCAAGCACCCUGGGCAGAGCAGUGCUCCAGGCAGAGACCCAGGGAGUUAAAGGCAGUUCCUGGAAGGUUGCAGGGAUUUGCAGACUGAGGCCCUGAUGCAAGGGCAAAGAGGGUGCUGGAGCCACUGAAGGGCUAAUGAGGAUUUUGCAAAAGCUCAAAGCAGAGUGACCCAAGCUGCCAGUAUCAAGGAGCCAGCGCAUGGAACGUGGGAGCUGCUUAAGACACAUAGUAGAAGAAAGAAAAGAACAAAGAAUUAACAUCUGUGGUGCCCACUCCCUGACCUCAAGCAACAGCAACAGACAGAAAGGAGCAUUGACGAGAGAUGACUUGAUGUCCAGAUUGAUUUGGAAGGAACUGCUACAUCUCUUUGCUUCAAAGAAAAUGCAGGUCUGAAUUCUUGGAUUGUAGUAAAGAUCCACUGGAGAAACUUGCCCAGCUGUCUUGGCAUUCUCAGGUCCACUGGAUUUGGCAAGCCAGAAUGAAGCAUACUGGCAGGGCAGUGAGGGACUGGGGGACCCUUGCACCCCUGCUGUCCAUUCAGUCCCAGUUCUGUGGAUGGGGAAUGUCACUCUGCAGGGAAGAAUUUCUGGAAGAAUGCACCAUGAAACCAAUGCUAUACCUGAGAUACAUGGGUGAUAUUUUCAUUCUCUGGACAGAUGGCCUAAACUCCCUCAUAGAUUUCCACCACAACUUCAACAACCACCACACAGCCAACAAACUCUCAUUAGAACACUCCCUACACCAGCAUCAACUUCCUGGACCCCAUGAUCAGCUUCAACAGUGGAACCCUACAGACAACUGUGGAAUCCUACAGAUGAUCCAACAGUUGAACCCUACAAGAAACGCACCGAUCGCUACAUGUACCUCCACAAAUCCAGUAAUCACCCCAGACACCAAGAAAUCUGUUGUCUCUAGCCAAGCACUCAGAUACCACAGAAUAUGCUCCAAGGAGAAAGUCUGGGAUACACACCUUAACAUACUUCAAACCGCCUUCACCAGAGAAGUAGAUCGCAUCAUGCUUUGGACCAUCCAAAUACCCUGAGAGAACCUGUUUCAAUACAGAACCCCCCCACAUCCAGCAACCCUAGUUGUCACCUACCACUCCACAUUGUAACCCAUACGGAGUAUCAUUAAACAGUGACAAUCCACCUUUGAUGGGGACCAUAUCCUGAAAGAAGUUUUUCCUGAACCCCCUCUUCUGUCCUUCAAGCAACCUCCCAUUAUCACUAAGUUCAUAAUCAAAAGCAAGCUCACCACAGACCAGGACCCCCACACCAUCUCAAAGAGGCACCAGACCCUGCGAGAACAACAGAUGCAAAACCUGCAGACAUAUCUCCACUGCUAUGAUACUCAAUACCCCCAACAAAACACCUUUCAUGAUCCAUGGAUCUUACGCAUGCCUAUCACUACAUGUGGUGUACCUCAUCCAGUGCAUCAAAUGCCCCAACACUAUGUGGGUGAAACCAAUCACUAUGCUCUCAAAUGAAGCCACACAGAAAAAUGAUAAAAGACAAAAAUAUCACCCAUGGGUGAAUACCUUUUUACAAAGCUAUUACUCCAUAUCUGACCUCUCAGUCCUACUCCUCAAAGGAAACCUGUACAACGCCUUCAAAAAACGAGAUGGGGAGCUUAAAUUCAUACCUCUGCUAGACACUAAAAAUUAUGCUUUCAACAUAGACACUGGUUUUAUGGCUCAUUAUAAGAAUUUGUAAUCUACUAAGCCUCCUCUGUCCUAUGACUGCAGAGGUGUUAGUUGCCUACUUCAUUUUAAGUGGUUUCUUGCAACAUGUGUUAACUCCUUAUGUUUAACAAUCUGUCCCACCUUGUAUUUAGCUGUG
Mauremys mutica (yellowpond turtle) is the source of this 1878-nucleotide long non-coding RNA. RefSeq lists it as uncharacterized. The transcript has 5 exons. The record is from RefSeq and is a predicted model, not a curated record. Lineage: Eukaryota; Metazoa; Chordata; Testudines; Geoemydidae.